Molecule: long non-coding RNA, 2399 nt
Organism: Myotis daubentonii (Daubenton's bat)
Lineage: Eukaryota; Metazoa; Chordata; Mammalia; Chiroptera; Vespertilionidae
Source: RefSeq, a predicted model, not a curated record
UGGAUUGAGUUUAGGAAGAAAAAAGAAGGGGUUAGCUUUGGUCCUGCCUCCUUUCCUUUCUCUACUUUGCUUGUCCCUCCUUCGGCCUUAGUUUGGAAAUUCAGUUAACUUAGGCAGAAGGUUACAGGAGCCCAGGGCUUUCCCCAGCAGCCUUGUCCUCCCACCUUGUCCCUCCUUCAGCUCCCGUGCACUCGAUCUGGAGGACUGCUGACCAAACUGCGGGAAUAAUUAGACUGGCUGUACCAUCUCACAUUCCACCAGCAAUGUAUGAGUUGACCCAGUUUCUUGGCAUCCUCACCAGCCUUUGGAACAGGAUGCACUUCCCCAGGACUGAUACUGUUAAGUAGGGGUAGGAGACACCAUGCUGUGCAGAAGGAAAGCUCCUCUUCAGAACAGAUACCUGUGCAGUCCCCACUUGAUCCCUAUUGGUGCCCCCAGUAGUUGUAGAAAGUUCUUCUCCAGGCCUCUCACUGACUUCCUCUUGGUAAAUGAUGAGAGAUACCAGACCGCAAAGCAGUGAGUGCCUCACCCAGCCAACUCUCUGGGGAGUUUGGUGCAAGAUGGCUCCCACUCAACCUCUGCAAGUGCUACCAGGGGAGAAGAUUCUUACCUAGGCCACCUUCUGUCACUGUGUGUAGAGCUGGGCGAUACUAGGACCAGGUUGCCUUCUGCCACUAGGUGGAGGAUCAAGAAAUGCUGAUCAAUCCCUUUUAACACAAUCCAAAGCACCAGAAACGUCAAAGAAUCCCAAUUUGCUUUGGCAGCAUAGGAUUCCUAUUUCCAGAUACACAUUAUGAGAAGACUGUCUGGGAGCCUGGAACUUCAUCACACGUCUUGUUCUUGGACAAAUCACCUGUCAAGUUCAGUGGCAUGUAUAUUUCUAAUCAAUAACCCUCUCGUGGUGUCUGUGGGAAAUCUCAGAAAGAUCUGUUAACCACAAUCUGGCCUUUUUGAGUUAGUUGGGAGCUGGUAGCAUCAGGCUGGCUGGGCCCUGUAUGGAGAUGUUGUGGGUAUUCAGGAAUGAGUCAGAGACUCUGCAUACAUUUAGGACCCCCACAUGUGUCUUCCUUUCCCCCAUUCCCAAAUCCUCAGUCUCAUCUCAUUAGGCCCUAUGAAACUUUCUCUUGUCCCUGCCACUUUCAUGUCCACCCCUUCAGAACACAACACUGUUUCAGCAUCCCACCCUCUGCCAUUCAUUGUUAAGAAUGUAAUCCUGCAAUCUGUGGCCCCAGGAAAAGAAAAGACCAAGUUAAGUCCUUUUAGAUGCCCAGUUUUAUUAGUGGUCCCACCCACCCUUCCUCACAGUUAUUACGUUUCCAUUAUUGAGAUGAGGGGACUGCAGCCAAGUGGGUUAAGCAAGUGCAGCACUUAUACUUAUGAGUGUCGUGGACACUGUGGGAUGGAGAUUGGGGUGGGGCAGAGCUCCAACUGCUGUGCCUAUGAGCAGCUUUUAUGGAAGAAUUGGACUUAGCUCUUUCUUUGGAGUUUUUGUUGAUCAUCCUGAAACAGGAUCUUCCUUUUAGGAGAUGUGCCUUAAUCUUCCCUUGAAAAGGUAUCCUAAGGAAUCGGACUUGGAUAGGAACACAGAUCAUAUCAGUGCAGUUCCCAUGUCAUUUAACAUACCCAUUCACUUUCUCACACACAAAUACUCUCUUACUAACCCAGACAAACAAAGGGCCUAAACACUUAACUGUCUGGAAUAUGUCACUUGACCUUGUUUACUCCCCAUACCUACUCUGGAAUGAAGUAUUAUUUCUAUUUUAUUUUCUGGUUUAGACAUUGAACCUCGGAAAGGUUAAGUCACUUGUCCAGGGUCCUGGAACUGGGAUGUGCUGGUGGCAGAAUUCUAAACCAGAGUGAUGUGGGGUGGCCUGUGGAGCACUCCAACUCCAAAUUGUAAUACUAUCAACAAUAGUAUAAUGUAUAUUAAAGAAACAAAAACAAUAGAGUGUGUUCAAAAAGUUAAGUGUCAGUCUCCUUAGAAAAGGGCCCAUUCUUUUAGUCUAUGAGCCCUUAUAGUGUGACGGGCUUUGCUCCAAGCACUUGGUACUGAAUAACUUCAUGGAAACUAGAACUGCUCUGGUACCACCUAACUUGCCUGUGGUCCCCAUCAAAGGACAGUCACUAUCUAUUAGGUGAAUACUUUAUAACUUCCUUUCCAUCCCUUCAGGCAGUUGUUUCAUCAUUUAUUCAACAAGUAUGGAGCAUCACCUCUGUACCAGGCCCCGCCCUCGGAGCUAGCAAUUCAAGGAUAAGGGAAACCCACUCCCUGCCUUCAAGGAACACACAAUUUAGCAGCAGAAACAGAGAUAUUAAACACAUAUUAUAAUUAAAAACAGACAUAUAAACACAUAAAUAAUAAUGAUGGAGCAUUAGACUAGAUGCCUUGAGAAUCCAGG